CCUACGGGGGGCAGCAGUGGGGAAUAUUGGACAAUGGGGGGAACCCUGAUCCAGCCAUGCCGCGUGUGUGAAGAAGGCCCUCGGGUUGUAAAGCACUUUCAGUGAGGAAGAACGCCUGGUGGUUAAUACCCAUCAGGAAAGACAUCACUCACAGAAGAAGCACCGGCUAACUCCGUGCCAGCAGCCGCGGUAAUACGGAGGGUGCGAGCGUUAAUCGGAAUUACUGGGCGUAAAGCGCGCGUAGGUGGCUUGAUAAGCCGGUUGUGAAAGCCCCGGGCUCAACCUGGGAACGGCAUCCGGAACUGUCAAGCUAGAGUGCAGGAGAGGAAGGUAGAAUUCCCGGUGUAGCGGUGAAAUGCGUAGAGAUCGGGAGGAAUCCCAGUGGCGAAGGCGGCCUUCUGGACUGACACUGACACUGAGGUGCGAAAGCGUGGGUAGCAAACAGGAUUAGAUACCCCUGUAGUC
This 465-nucleotide ribosomal RNA is filed under the name Vreelandella stevensii. RNAcentral describes it as "partial 16S ribosomal RNA". It matches the Rfam family "Bacterial small subunit ribosomal RNA", at positions 338 to 795 of the family's 1533-position model. The record is from RNAcentral. Lineage: Bacteria; Pseudomonadati; Pseudomonadota; Gammaproteobacteria; Oceanospirillales; Halomonadaceae.